UCAGACUCGGCACUGUGGCUUCAGACUCUGGGGGCUGUCACCUUCCGCAGCAAUGACAUGUGCUCAGAGUAAAGAUUCUUUGAAAUCAGUGGCAACUAUUUCCAGGAGGAGAUGCUUGUUACUCAUUUAUUUUUUAAGUUUGCCAACAGAAGCCUUAAGUCUUCCCGAAGCGACUGCUCCUGAAGUACGGUGUGCCUCCCUCCUGGAGGCAAUGUGAUAUCGUGAAAACGAGAGAGGGUUUUGCAAGCAGAUGGGCUCUGUGUCCUGCCUGCCUCUGACUCCCUCCAGCUGUGACGGAAGAGGGAGACCUUCCAGUUUUGCUGAGACAUAAGAGACUUUGGUAUCACUGCUGCCAUGGUGACAGCUGUUGCCGCCUCCGCUGCUGCCGUCGCUGCCGCUGCUACUGCACUUGCCAUUGCUAUUCCUACAGCCAAGGAGAUUAAUCAACUGUCUAGGAAUACCGCAGAAGCUCUACAAACCCAGAGUGAAAUUAAUGGUCAUCUCCGUGCGGGUAUUCUUUUUGCUAAUCAGCGGAUUGACUUGCUACAAGAACAAAUGGACAUUGUAAUACAACUACUGACUGUAGGAUACCUUCGCUCAGAUACUGGACUCUGCAUUACUCCAGUUGCAUAUGAUAACCUCACUCGAGCAGCUACUUAUUCCAGGGAACUAUCCAAGAUGCUUACAGGCAACUGGAGUGCCAGAUUCGAGAAUCUAACAAUACAGCUUCGUGCUAAUAUUGUUAACGUUAAUGCCAGUAAGGUAGAAGUAGCUUCAGUAUCUCAAUUUGUUGCCUUUAUGAAAAAUGUUGUAGGAUGGGGGAAGCAAUGGUUUGGGUUCAUAUCCAUGGGUGGAUUGCUGAUAUUCGCUGUGGUGUGUUGCUUAUGGUGCAUUUGCCCCAUGAUGAGGAUUCGUAAAAGAGACACCAUUGUCAUCAAACAAGCUCUGUUAUCCAUUGAGUCCGGACAGUCGCCCCAGGUAUGGCUCAGUAUGCUGGAUCGGAAGUCAAAGACGGGUAAGAUCAUAGGCAGAAUAUACCAACCUAAAACAGGACAUGAUCCUAUAAGCAUCAUGAUCCAAUAACAGGUAAGGAUAUUCUUGGCCUUGCGACAACCUAAGACAGGCACGACCCCUGCUGAGUCUUUCCUUCUACCAUAAAACAAAAAGGGGGAACUGUCGAGGGCGGAUGCUCCAGGGGCCCGGAGAUCCGUCAACCGCAGAGCUUUGCAAAAUGGCGCCUGGCAAUUUGCCAGAAGGUGUGUCUAGAGUGACUGAUCGUAAACAGGAAGUACUACCUAUUGGCUGUUGAACUAUUGCUAUGCUGUGGGUACUUGGUAACAAGCUUAAGAUUGGUGGAUGCAUAUCGCUGUCUAUGCUGAUUGGCUUAGCUCCCCUAUAUAAGCGAUGGCCAUAUGAAAUAAAGUAGUGCCCUUUUUUGAAACCCAAGUGAACGGAGAGUCGUUAUUAUCGCUGCUGGAUGGCGAUAGAUAUGAAGCUCUUUACAGUUCCUUUCAAGAUAAAGGAUUUUAUUCCACCAACAUACAUUAUUAUCAGUAGGAAGGAGGAGGCAUAGCAGAGAAGAAGCAUAAGGAGACAGAACAACCCCUAACUGGUUCUUCUGUGUCCUAGUGUUUCUGAUCUGUGCAAGCAUGUAAAGAUUAUAAGUGACAUACAAACUGUACAAUCUGGUUUUCUCUAAGCGGGUCACAAACUGAAAUAAAGUUCACAUCUUUUAGAUUCAGACAUCACUCCUUAUUGGCAAGUGAUUUGGGACUAGGGGAAAACUUUGGGGUGGGAUUAGAAAGACGAAAGCCAAAAACAAACAGACUAAAAAAGCCAGAAAGAAAGAGUGAGUGAGCAAAAGCCAUCUCAGACCCCAAGCAUCUUCUGACAUGUGAGGUUUUGAUGAGCAAUCUGUGUAUUAUAUUCCUUAUGAGU
This is a long non-coding RNA of Mustela lutreola (European mink), 1938 nucleotides long. RefSeq lists it as uncharacterized. NCBI's taxonomy places the organism in Eukaryota, Metazoa, Chordata, Mammalia, Carnivora, Mustelidae. The record is from RefSeq and is a predicted model, not a curated record. The transcript has 3 exons.